AGAGAUAUUAAGUAAAAUAUAAAAGCUUCUAACUUUUAAUAUAAGCGGUUAAAUUCCGUUUAUAUCUCUA
Molecule: transfer RNA, 70 nt
Filed under: Chionoecetes japonicus pacificus
Lineage: Eukaryota; Metazoa; Arthropoda; Malacostraca; Decapoda; Majidae
Description: tRNA-Ser
Source: RNAcentral